RNAcentral lists this long non-coding RNA (1071 nucleotides) under Equus caballus (horse). Its description in RNAcentral is "lncRNA (ENSECAG00000048877.1)". Lineage: Eukaryota; Metazoa; Chordata; Mammalia; Perissodactyla; Equidae. The record is from RNAcentral.
AAAUAAUCAAAUUUCCUUAUCAAUUCCAUGAGAAUGAACUCUCGGCAGAUCUUUAACCAUGGGCAUUUUAAAGUCUUUUUUCAUUUACAAAGAGUUAGUGUUUUACUCUGAUGUUUUUGCAAAAGUAAGACUCAUGGAAAGGACCUCACCAAGUGCUCCUGACCACUGACACAGCUGUGAAACUAGAACUUGGAUACUCAUCUCAUAGCUGAAGAAGGCUCCGCCUGACAUCUUGUCCUAUGCAAAUGCUAGAGACCUCAGCAUCAAACUGCCUGGGAAGAGAAGUAGACAACACCAAGACUCUGCCCUGAAACUUCCAGCUGCUUCAGACUGUUAGAACACCAACCUCUGAUAACUCAACUUGGCGGGACCACUGCAGUGAAGAUUAGCCCUGAGCUAACAUCUACUGCCAAUCCUCCUCUUUUUGCUGAGGAAGACUGGUCCUGAGCAAACAUCUGUGCCCAUCUUCCUCUACUUUGUAUGUGAGACACCUGCCACAGCAUGGCUAAUGAGCUGUCCUGUCUGCACCUGGGAUCCAGGCCAGCGAACCCCCCAGCUGCCAAAGUGGAGUGCACAAACUUAACUGCUAAGCCACUGGGCCAGCCCAAUAUAUUCAUAGUUUUUGCUAACAAUAUUCAUACAGUUACAAAUUUCACUUUUAGUAGAAUUUGCUUUGGAAAACAGGUUGUUUAUUCCUAAUUAAGUGAUACAUAAUUAGUGAAUCAUCUAUUACAAAACUUCUUUGAUGAAAGUUACACUUUGGUUAGACCUUGGCACAGGAAGGUUUGGAAAGAGUCCAGGGCACCUUGGCACAGUGUUGGUUGUGAUUGUGGAUAAAGAAGCAGUGGCUUAGCUCAUGUUUAGGUGUCAUAAAUAGGCUAGAGUUGGGCCCCAGGAAAUGCUAGGCUUACUUGUUAGGAGAGCAAGUGGUAUUGCCAAGUGUGACCUCAAGGAAGCAAGUAGAAGGAGUGUAAUACGAAAGCUCAGUGGAGUCUUUGCCAGUAGAAGAAAGAUAAGACUCCAACAGUGGAUUCAGAAUUCUAGAAUAUGUAUUACUUUUGUCUAAUGCAG